GGGAUAUCAGGAGGAGGGAGAGAGGAAAGGUGGGGAUAUCAGGAGGAGGGAGAGAGGGAAGGUGGGGAUAUCAGGAGGAGGGAGAGAGGAGGGGAUAUCAGGAGGAGGGAGAGAGGAAAGGAGAGGAUAUCAGGAGGAGGGAGAGAGGAGGGGAUAUCAGGAGGAGGGAGAGAGGAGGGGAUAUCAGGAGGAGGGAGAGAGGAAAGGUGGGGAUAUCAGGAGGAGGGAGGGAGGAAAGGUGGGGAUAUCAGGAGGAGGGAGAGAGGAAAGGAGGGGAUAUCAGGAGGAGGGAGAGAGGAAAGGAGGGGAUAUCAGGAGG
Molecule: long non-coding RNA, 319 nt
Organism: Oncorhynchus tshawytscha (Chinook salmon)
Lineage: Eukaryota; Metazoa; Chordata; Actinopteri; Salmoniformes; Salmonidae
Source: Ensembl